RNAcentral lists this ribosomal RNA (1379 nucleotides) under Salmonella enterica. RNAcentral describes it as "bacterial SSU rRNA". It matches the Rfam family "Bacterial small subunit ribosomal RNA", at positions 147 to 1522 of the family's 1533-position model. The record is from RNAcentral. Lineage: Bacteria; Pseudomonadati; Pseudomonadota; Gammaproteobacteria; Enterobacterales; Enterobacteriaceae.
CUACUGGAAACGGUGGCUAAUACCGCAUAACGUCGCAAGACCAAAGAGGGGGACCUUCGGGCCUCUUGCCAUCAGAUGUGCCCAGAUGGGAUUAGCUUGUUGGUGAGGUAACGGCUCACCAAGGCGACGAUCCCUAGCUGGUCUGAGAGGAUGACCAGCCACACUGGAACUGAGACACGGUCCAGACUCCUACGGGAGGCAGCAGUGGGGAAUAUUGCACAAUGGGCGCAAGCCUGAUGCAGCCAUGCCGCGUGUAUGAAGAAGGCCUUCGGGUUGUAAAGUACUUUCAGCGGGGAGGAAGGUGUUGUGGUUAAUAACCGCAGCAAUUGACGUUACCCGCAGAAGAAGCACCGGCUAACUCCGUGCCAGCAGCCGCGGUAAUACGGAGGGUGCAAGCGUUAAUCGGAAUUACUGGGCGUAAAGCGCACGCAGGCGGUCUGUCAAGUCGGAUGUGAAAUCCCCGGGCUCAACCUGGGAACUGCAUUCGAAACUGGCAGGCUUGAGUCUUGUAGAGGGGGGUAGAAUUCCAGGUGUAGCGGUGAAAUGCGUAGAGAUCUGGAGGAAUACCGGUGGCGAAGGCGGCCCCCUGGACAAAGACUGACGCUCAGGUGCGAAAGCGUGGGGAGCAAACAGGAUUAGAUACCCUGGUAGUCCACGCCGUAAACGAUGUCUACUUGGAGGUUGUGCCCUUGAGGCGUGGCUUCCGGAGCUAACGCGUUAAGUAGACCGCCUGGGGAGUACGGCCGCAAGGUUAAAACUCAAAUGAAUUGACGGGGGCCCGCACAAGCGGUGGAGCAUGUGGUUUAAUUCGAUGCAACGCGAAGAACCUUACCUGGUCUUGACAUCCACAGAACUUUCCAGAGAUGGAUUGGUGCCUUCGGGAACUGUGAGACAGGUGCUGCAUGGCUGUCGUCAGCUCGUGUUGUGAAAUGUUGGGUUAAGUCCCGCAACGAGCGCAACCCUUAUCCUUUGUUGCCAGCGGUCCGGCCGGGAACUCAAAGGAGACUGCCAGUGAUAAACUGGAGGAAGGUGGGGAUGACGUCAAGUCAUCAUGGCCCUUACGACCAGGGCUACACACGUGCUACAAUGGCGCAUACAAAGAGAAGCGACCUCGCGAGAGCAAGCGGACCUCAUAAAGUGCGUCGUAGUCCGGAUUGGAGUCUGCAACUCGACUCCAUGAAGUCGGAAUCGCUAGUAAUCGUGGAUCAGAAUGCCACGGUGAAUACGUUCCCGGGCCUUGUACACACCGCCCGUCACACCAUGGGAGUGGGUUGCAAAAGAAGUAGGUAGCUUAACCUUCGGGAGGGCGCUUACCACUUUGUGAUUCAUGACUGGGGUGAAGUCGUAACAAGGUAACCGUAGGGGAACCUGCGGUUGGA